RNAcentral lists this ribosomal RNA (253 nucleotides) under uncultured bacterium. RNAcentral's name for it is "partial 16S ribosomal RNA". It matches the Rfam family "Bacterial small subunit ribosomal RNA", at positions 524 to 776 of the family's 1533-position model. The record is from RNAcentral.
UACGUAGGGGGCAAGCGUUGUCCGGAUUUAUUGGGCGUAAAGAGCGUGUAGGCGGGUUGGUAGGUCCGUUGUGAAAACUCGAGGCUCAACCUCGAGACGCCGAUGGAAACCAUCAGACUAGAGUCCGGAAGAGGAGAGUGGAAUUCCUGGUGUAGCGGUGAAAUGCGCAGAUAUCAGGAAGAACACCCGUGGCUAAGGCGGCUCUCUAGUACGGUACUGACGCUGAGACGCGAAAGCGUGGGGAGCGAACAGG